UACGGAGGAUCCGAGCGUUAUCCGGAUUUAUUGGGUUUAAAGGGAGCGUAGGUGGAUUGUUAAGUCAGUUGUGAAAGUUUGCGGCUCAACCGUAAAAUUGCAGUUGAAACUGGCAGUCUUGAGUACAGUAGAGGUGGGCGGAAUUCGUGGUGUAGCGGUGAAAUGCUUAGAUAUCACGAAGAACUCCGAUUGCGAAGGCAGCUCACUGGACUGCAACUGACACUGAGGCUCGAAGGCCAGGGGAGCGAAAGGG
Molecule: ribosomal RNA, 253 nt
Filed under: uncultured Bacteroides sp.
Lineage: Bacteria; Pseudomonadati; Bacteroidota; Bacteroidia; Bacteroidales; Bacteroidaceae
Description: partial 16S ribosomal RNA
Rfam family: Bacterial small subunit ribosomal RNA
Source: RNAcentral